CACGUAGGGCGCGAGCGUUGUCCGGAAUUAUUGGGCGUAAAGAGCUCGUAGGCGGCCUGUUGCGUCCGCUGUGAAAGCCCGGGGCUUAACCCCGGGUCGGCAGUGGAUACGGGCAGGCUAGAGGUAGGUAGGGGAGAAUGGAAUUCCCGGUGUAGCGGUGAAAUGCGCAGAUAUCGGGAGGAACACCAGCGGCGAAGGCGGUUCUCUGGGCCUGACCUGACGCUGAGGAGCGAAAGCGUGGGGAGCGAACAGG
This 253-nucleotide ribosomal RNA is filed under the name uncultured bacterium. Its description in RNAcentral is "partial 16S ribosomal RNA". It matches the Rfam family "Bacterial small subunit ribosomal RNA", at positions 524 to 776 of the family's 1533-position model. The record is from RNAcentral.